AGUGAUUACUUAUUAUAUGCUAAGCAUGACAUGCAUUUGCAUAUGCAUUUUUGCAAAUAAAAGUACUCAUGAUUUAAAUUGGUUUUCAUUAUAAUUCCAAUUAUUAAAGAAAGUCGAGUAAGAAUAUUGUUGGUGUUCUUAACUCAAGAGAAAUGUUUUCAAUUAUUUAUUCAUUAAAUUUUGAAAACCCGGCUAAGUGAAUCAUAGAAUAUUAAGCACUACACCAUGACUUAAGAUUAGAUUCAAGGAGACCUAUUGAGAAUAGAUUUCUUGUAGGCUUUGAGCAUCAGAAGGAUUAGCACUGCUAUUCCGAAUCAAAGAUAAGGUUAAACGACAGGCUUUGCCUAUACAGGUUGGCUGGCUGGUGCUGACGGGACGGAGCUGAGGCUAGAGUUAAAAUUCAUAUGUUAGACUUCCGCUGUAGCAAUUACUCUUAUACAUCUUUUGUUUUCUCAACUUAAGAUGACUUCAUGUCGAGCUUAAAUUUGAAAUUCUAGUUUUAUGCUAAUGAAUGUUGGUUGUCAGAAGCAUGAAACAAAACUUGUGAUCCAAAGGGGCAUAGCCCGACUUUCUAUCAUAUU
Molecule: long non-coding RNA, 581 nt
Organism: Salvia miltiorrhiza (redroot sage)
Lineage: Eukaryota; Viridiplantae; Streptophyta; Magnoliopsida; Lamiales; Lamiaceae
Exons: 2
Source: RefSeq, a predicted model, not a curated record